GUUUAAUUCUCCACAAUCAGGUUUUCAAUACUAAUAAACUUCCUUGUUAAAUUCAGGUUUCUGUAUCUGAAUUUUCUUGAUAUUUUAAAUCUGUAAUCUGUUGAACUUGGGCACAUUUCAUGGGGUAAUUUUAAAACAUGUCCUACAUUGCUUACAGUAUGCAUCUAGUUGUCAAUAAUUUUUUUUUUCAGUGUUCAAUUUAUAAUCUUUUCUUAUUGCCUUCCUUUUUUUGGUUGCUUUUAUUCCUUACAACAGGCAGUUGAA
RNAcentral lists this unclassified non-coding RNA (264 nucleotides) under Hevea brasiliensis (rubber tree). Lineage: Eukaryota; Viridiplantae; Streptophyta; Magnoliopsida; Malpighiales; Euphorbiaceae. The record is from RNAcentral.